CACAAUAAGAGCACGUGUAAAUGAUAUGCUUUUGGUUCCUUCCUAGAGAUAACUCUCUGCUGCUUCAUUACCACUUGUCUGCAUUCUUCCAGCAUGUUUAAUUUUUUUUGUCCUAGACUUUACAAGUAAGAUGUAGUGAUACUGUCAGAUGUCGAACUUUAAAGCUUCUGUUCCAGUUCCCAGUUAUCUAUUAUUUUUGUAGUUCUUUCAGAAGAAGCUGAAAAUUGAUCAAGUUAUCUUUCUUCUUUUUUUUUCUGUCUAAUCUUGUAGGGUUUUUCUUUUCUUAAUACAUCCUAAUUCUGUUUCGGGUUGAAGUGGUAGUUGUUAGGGUCAUUCUUUUCAAGUGUGCGUAUAUUCCGAACUUACUGAUAAUAUUAAUUAGAUACAUGUAUUAACAAGCAGCUUUAGUAAUUAGUGAACUCCUGAUAGAGACAGCACAAUAGUUUGAGACAGGAAUUUUCUCGAGCAGCAAGACAAAGUGAUCCAGAUGCUCUUUGUUUCGGUAUCAAAAACUGUGUUCUCUGCUAUGUACGUCGGGUUCAGGAUACACACCGUCUCGGCUAUUUAUAAUCCUGGGAUUUGGUAGUGAUGGUCACAGCCUGAGACUACUCAGAAUUAAAUAAAAGGCAAAAGAGAAAUACAAUAUGUUGGUUUUAGGUCACUGAAAAAGCUUUUCUUCUGUAAAAGUUUCAUUAUAACAGGGUGAAGAUAUUAUUAAGUGAGCACAAGCAGCCGAAUAUGGAAACUGCCCAAGAAUUUCCAAGAAGUCAGCAUAAAGAGCAGAGAAGGAGAGAGGCUUAAAGUGUUUGCAGUUUGUAUUUCCAUCCCUGUUUGCCUUGCUGGAAACUCACCCUGGCUUCAUACCUGGGACCAGCCGGCACAGAGAUGUGGCUGAAUACUGGGGCAUAUUCUAAACCAUAUUCUAUUUGCCUCCCUUACAGGCACGUUUUUUCCCUAGAGUUUUAGCAUUUAUUCC
Strigops habroptila (Kakapo) is the source of this 976-nucleotide long non-coding RNA. RefSeq lists it as uncharacterized. The transcript is spliced from 3 exons. The record is from RefSeq and is a predicted model, not a curated record. Lineage: Eukaryota; Metazoa; Chordata; Aves; Psittaciformes; Psittacidae.